UACGGAGGGUGCAAGCGUUAUCCGGAUUCACUGGGCUUAAAGGGUGCGUAGGCGGAGUGGUAAGUCAGCGGUGAAAUCUCCAAGCUUAACUUGGAAACUGCCGUUGAUACUAUCAUUCUUGAAUAUCGUGGAGGUAAGCGGAAUAUGUCAUGUAGCGGUGAAAUGCUUAGAUAUGACAUAGAACACCGAUUGCGAAGGCAGCUUGCUACACGAUCAUUGACACUGAGGCACGAAAGCGUGGGGAUCAAACAGG
This 253-nucleotide ribosomal RNA is filed under the name uncultured bacterium. RNAcentral's name for it is "partial 16S ribosomal RNA". It matches the Rfam family "Bacterial small subunit ribosomal RNA", at positions 524 to 776 of the family's 1533-position model. The record is from RNAcentral.